Molecule: unclassified non-coding RNA, 244 nt
Filed under: Hevea brasiliensis (rubber tree)
Lineage: Eukaryota; Viridiplantae; Streptophyta; Magnoliopsida; Malpighiales; Euphorbiaceae
Source: RNAcentral
CAGCCGGUCAUCAAUCCUUCCCAUAAUAUAAUAUUUGUACAAUUGUUGUGUUUUAAAAUUGGCCACAAGAUGGCCAUCAUGAGUGGGCAGCCGUAGCACUUGUGUAUAAGAGGGUUUGUUUCCCUUGUUUGUAGACUUAGAUGGAGAGGGAGUGAGUUAGUGAGCGGCACCAAAUUGUAAGAGAGAUUUGAGAGUUUUCCUUUAAUGGCAAUUGUAUAGCUUUGUAAAGGAAUAAGAGAAGUAG